This 315-nucleotide long non-coding RNA is filed under the name Brassica napus (rape). Its description in RNAcentral is "long non-coding RNA (BNAP_LNC010738)". The record is from RNAcentral. Lineage: Eukaryota; Viridiplantae; Streptophyta; Magnoliopsida; Brassicales; Brassicaceae.
AAGAGUUCAGAUAUGCCUAGAGAAGCUAGAGUAUAAUAAGAGAGGGUGUACUAAUGCUGAAUUUAAAUGUUGAUUUGAGUGCUUUGUGUGUUUCUUUUGGCUAUGAGCUCCCACCUUCAAACCUCUCUCCCUAUGAGUUCUAGAAAGUUCAAUUGAGGACAAGUAAAAGAAUAAGUUUGGGGGAGUUGAUAUCUUGCAUAUUCACAUUGUUUAUCCAUUUAUUCAUGUGCAUUUUCAUCAUAUAGAUUAGGAUUUAGUCAUGUCUGGGUUGCAUUUUGCAUACAUAUGUCUCUAUCAGGUAUUGGAGUACCACAU